CUCUAACAUGUGUGCGAGUGUGAUUAUGUGGAUUGUGAGGAGUUUAAUCACCCUCAUGUUUUGCAUAUUCGUGCUCUUGGGUGUACUUGCCUGUGUGGUUAGUUAACAUCAAUUUUGGUUAUCAUAAAAUGGUUGGAGGAAUGUAGCUUCGAUCUCGUAUUGAAGUGUUAUAGCCUUUGGUAGAUAUGAUGUUUGAGACCGAGGAUUGCAACGGAUACCCUUUAGGGCUAUUCGUCUGAUCUCUGAUACGUUGCCUUGAUGUUGAAGCUUGCUUAUGAUGUUAUGGUAUUACGGUCUAAAAGGUUAGAACGGUAUUAGAUUCGUUAAGGAUGUUGACGUAAUG
This 343-nucleotide ribosomal RNA is filed under the name Funneliformis mosseae. The record is from RNAcentral. Lineage: Eukaryota; Fungi; Glomeromycota; Glomeromycetes; Glomerales; Glomeraceae.